RNAcentral lists this non-coding RNA (29 nucleotides) under Mus musculus (house mouse). The record is from RNAcentral. Lineage: Eukaryota; Metazoa; Chordata; Mammalia; Rodentia; Muridae.
UAUUAAUUUCUCUGUUUUAUUUAGGGAAA